Non-coding RNA from Homo sapiens (human), 148 nucleotides. It matches the Rfam family "Metazoan signal recognition particle RNA". Rfam says of the family: The signal recognition particle (SRP) is a universally conserved ribonucleoprotein. It is involved in the co-translational targeting of proteins to membranes. The record is from Rfam. NCBI's taxonomy places the organism in Eukaryota, Metazoa, Chordata, Mammalia, Primates, Hominidae.
GCCGGGCUUGGUGGCACAUGCCUGUAAUCCCAACUACUUGGGAGGCUGAGGCAGAAGAAUUGCUUGAGUCCAGGAGACGGAGGUUGCAGUGAGCCAAGAUUGUGCCACUGCACUCCAGCCUGGCCAACAGAGCGAGACUCUGUCUCAA